GUUGUGUUAAUGUGCUCUAAUGCAAACAAUUAUCACAAGGACAGGGCGCCUAACAUCUGACCCAAAAUGUUACGGAAUUGUUCUCGCAGCUGCUUUCUUAUUUCCAGCCCCAGCCUGGAUGAGGCACACUGGGGGAGGAGACCCUCCCCAGUAAUGGGAGUGUGAGAUAGGAGACUGGAAAUCAGCACCAGGGAAUUAAGGCUGGGGAUUUUGGAAAGCUGCGUGUGACACUGUCAGGGCAGCUUGUGAAUAGGUGAGUGAAGUAAGCAGAAAAUGCAGCAAACUGAGUGGUUACAGACUGACAAGAGGGUGUCUCACUGUUCUUGCUUGUCUGCUAUGCUACAGAGAGGCCUGAGCUGGAGAUUAGCCAUUUAUCAGCUGCAUGGUGGAAUGAGAAACAGCUGCAACGUAUUUUGGGGCAGCAUCACCAGGGACCAGAGGCUCUCCGCAGGUGCCCAGGCACCCCGCUCCCCUGGCCUUCCCCUGGCACCUGGCAGCGCUGCCUGCCGCACAGCUGGCACAUGCACCACAAGAGGGAGGUAGUCAUCGUAAAAUGGAUGGCAGUGGCUGGCUUCUGAUCCUCCGCGC
Oxyura jamaicensis (ruddy duck) is the source of this 588-nucleotide long non-coding RNA. RefSeq lists it as uncharacterized. Lineage: Eukaryota; Metazoa; Chordata; Aves; Anseriformes; Anatidae. The transcript has 3 exons. The record is from RefSeq and is a predicted model, not a curated record.